Molecule: small nucleolar RNA, 124 nt
Organism: Nannospalax galili (Upper Galilee mountains blind mole rat)
Lineage: Eukaryota; Metazoa; Chordata; Mammalia; Rodentia; Spalacidae
Source: Ensembl
AGCACUCAGAGUGCCUAUCUGUUCAACUGGUGGACAAAGGCAUGAAAGACAGGUGCCAGAACCCUCUUUCACAGCCAGAACUCAUUGUUUAGUAUGAGUUUUGAUGCAUACAAGAAGGAAUGUG